AGUGGAGGAGCAGCUGGGGAAAGGAGCAGGGUCAUGGCUCCCUGCCCGUGGUGUUGCCUCUGAGGUGCUGUGUGAGGGCAGGCAUCUUCGCCCCUCUCUGGGCCUCGGGACCAUAUCACCCCUUCUGGGGGUAUUGGUUCAUCUUGAAUCCCUCCCCCUUCCAGCUCAGGCCUGCUGGAAUGGGCUGCCCCAGAGCGAAGGGAGGAAUAGUCUCUGUCUCCUCCCCACCCGCACUCCACACAGGUGUGAAUCAGCCCAGAGGAGAGUGGCUCUGACACGAGGGGGCACAACGCGAAGACUUGGGGUGUCGAGUCUCUGGGAGGAAGUCCUGAGCACCUACUGUGCGCUGAGCUCGUGGACAGUGUGGACGUCCUCUCUUCCCAUCUGCAACCACCUGCUGUGAGUGCCCUCCUCUGAAACGAGGUUCAGAGUGGGCAGUGACUCGCCUAAGGCCACACAGCCCAGCCAGUGCCUGUGGAGGGAAGCCCAACUGCGGCUGGUUCUUGCUCCUGGAACUUUCUGGCCCCAUCUUAUACGCCUCAAGCCCCUCACUGUGAGCUCAGAACCCCCCUCCUUGGGGACCAGGAGAGGCUGGGGAUGGUGGGCAGACAGGAAGGAAGGGGUGGGGGUGCAGAGCCAGCCUCCAUACCCCCUAACUCAUAUCACAGAGUCCAGGGGUCGACAGGGACAGGGAAAGCUCCCCUUCCGUGCCCCUAUCAUGAGUUAAGCCAUUCUCCCACCGUCCUGCUGUUAAUCUUUAAACGGCCCAAUGAUUAAUUAAUUACCCAAGACCCACAGGGACUCGGUUGAGUGCCCCUGGUAUCUGCGACCAGGGCACCCUCUCUGCAGUACCCCGGUCUCCCAGCCCCUGAUGAGAGCAAGGAGAAACACAGACGAGGCCCGCCAAACUCACAGACACAGGCAAGGAUGCGACUGUCACCGGUCCAGCAAACCCUGCUCUGUCCUGGGCCCUGGGCCACAGCACAGCCUGCAGGAGACAGGCAAGGCACGGUCAGGAAAGAAGACAGAACCCCAGAGGCCAGGCGGGGCUAGGAGGGCUCCUCCCAGCCCCAGUGGACCCUGCCGCGGCACACUGGGGGGUCUGGUGUCUCUGUGUCCUUGGGGCACUGGCGGGGGGAUCUGAGCCCAGUGUCUGCUGACUGGUUCUGACCCCCUCUGCCCCUCUGCCAGUCUGAGUCUCAGUUUCCCUCAUCUGUGCACAGGGCUGGUCAUUUCCCGCUCUCCUCUCAGGGUGAGCUGGGGAGAAUGAAGAGCCACUCUGGCAGAGGCACUGGGGCUGCCCUAACAGGUGUGGAGGAGGCUGGGGAGGUUCUUGCUGAGCAGCAGUGGGACAGGCCACAUGGUUCCUAAUUCAGGAGGUGACCCUGGCCAAGCCCUUUCUUCUCUGUCAGCCUCGGUUUCCCUAUUGAUAAAAAAAGGGGUUGGAGACCCAGUGUGGUGGCUCAUGCCUGUAAUCCCAGCACUUUGAGAGGCCGAGGUAGGUGGAUCACUUGAGGUCAGGAGUUUGAGACCAGCCUGGCCAACAUGGUGAAACCCCGUCUCUACUAAAAGUACAAAAAUUAGCCGGGCGUCGUGGCGGGCGCCUGUAAUCCCAGCUACUCAGGAGGCUGAGGCAGGAGGAUCACUUGAUUCCAGGAGGCAGAGGUUGCAGUGAGACGAGAUUGUGCCACUGCAUUCCAGCCUGGACAACAGAGCAAGCCUCUGUCUCAAAAACAAAACAAAACCCCAAAAUGAGGGGUUGGGAUCUGUGACUGCCCAGGACCCUUGAGGAGCCUGUCAUGGGCAAGUGGGCCGCUGGUACCAGGCAGAGCUCCCAGUCCACUGUCCCCCACUCCCUAGCCCUGCCAUGCUCCAAGGUGCCCAGCUCCUACCCGGAGCAAGUGCUGGGCUGGGAACGUCGGCCAUCACCUCGCCAUUGACUCAGGGAGGCUCACCAUCUGGAGGCCUGAGGAUGCCACAGCAACUUCCAGCCUGGUCAGCAGGGCAGGUAUCAGAGGCGUCCACCCUGCCAUGCUGACGAUUUCCACCUCAUUGCCGAGGGGCCCCCUGGGCCUCCCAGAAAACUGGAGUCAUUGACCCUGGGAGGCAGAGGAUCUUUGAAGACAACUUGUCUUCUGGGAUUUUAGAACUUUUUGAAAGUUAAAAUGAGGUCAGACACAGUGACUCAUGCCUGUAAUCCCAGCACUUUGGGAGGCUGAGGUGGGAGGAUCGCUUGAGGCCAGGAGUUCCAGACUAGAAUGGGCAACAUAGUGAGACCCUGUCUCUAAAAUAAUUUUAAAAAUUAGCCAAGCGUGGUGGUGCAUACCUGAAAUCCUAGCUACUUGGGAGGCUGAAGAGGGAGGAUCGCUUGAGCCCAGGAGUUUGAGACCAGCCUGGGCAACAGAGUGAGACUCCAUCACUACAAAAAAUAAAUUAAAGAAAAUUAGCCGAGUGUGGUGGCGAAUGUCUAUAGUUUCAGCUACUCAGCAGGGCUGCGGUGGGAGGAUCAUUUGAACCCAGGAGGCCAAGGCUGCAGUGAGCCAUGACUGUGCCACUGCACUCCAGCCUGGGUAACAGACACCCUGUCUCA
RNAcentral lists this long non-coding RNA (2590 nucleotides) under Homo sapiens (human). RNAcentral's name for it is "HSALNT0406103". The stretch from base 1584 to 1731 matches the Rfam family "Metazoan signal recognition particle RNA". The record is from RNAcentral. Lineage: Eukaryota; Metazoa; Chordata; Mammalia; Primates; Hominidae.